CUGGCCUCUGGCUCUAAACCUGUGGCCUUUGUCUGUCCUCUCAGCUUCAGCUGACUUUCCUGGCCCUGACAUUCGCCCGCCUAGAACUGAGGUCUCCGCUCAACCUCUCCCUGGCCUGUCCUGUUCUGUUAUUGCCAGCAUCCUGGUGGGACAAUUUCAUGGGUGGAAUCAGAGUGCGUUAGAGUAAGAAAUCUAAAGAGAUGCUGUUUUCUGCCUAAUCUGUUUUCUCCCCAUGGGUCAAUUUGGCUGCACUUUUAUUUUGAAAUCAAAGAACCUAGAAACAAAUGAGCAAACACCUUAUUAUUGAGAACCAUCUGCAGAAAAUCCCACGGAGCAGCUCCAAGGUCAAAGCUUAUCUGUUUUGCCUCAUGCACAAAACAGCCAGCACCAGGAGACCGGCAGGAUGGGAAAUCACAGAAUCAUAAGAAGUUUGGGUAAAAGGAAGCAUCUUCUUUCAGUUGAAUGUAAAGAAACAUCUCUCUGAUGGGUGGUGCAGAAGGACUGGAAGAGAGCAAGACAGGAGGCAGGAAGACUGACUGGAGGCCGACCUGGCAGCCCAGGACAGACCCAGACGAGGAGCUCUAAAAUCAGAUCUUCAUCGUUACUUUCCUGGUCAAGGUUUCCAAGGGGUACCCAGCCUUCAAUUCCUCCUUUAUAAUGCCUUUGAGGAUCUCCCCAGGAAGAGCAUGCCUCCCAACACUCUAAAAUCUUCCGAGAAACCUCACUGCCUAAAGAAGAAUUCCAGACCCCCUAGUGCCCAAGGGCCCCCACACUCAGGCUCCUCCUUCUUCCCUGAUCUUGCUGCCCAUUCCAUUCCUCUAACCUCAAUCACCUGCUGCACUUUGAAUCUGUUAUUGCUCAACCCCUCACCUGACCUGACUUUACCUCUGUUUCUUAAGACAGCAAAUAAAGACUCUGUUAAUAUGUGUAAGUUAAGGCAGGUGAUUUUACAAUGAAAUUGAGGGAUGCCUCUCUUGGUGACCACGUGUGUCCUAUUUUUCACAAAUAGUCCAUGCUGCUCCCUGGCGAAGGAUUGUCCCUUCCCUCUCCCACUGCCAGCAGACUUAGCCAUAUGAUUGACUUUGGCCAAUGGAAUUGGAGUAGAAGAGCCUUGUGUCACUUCCAAGCAGAAAUUUUAAGGGCCAAGGGAUGGUUCAUGAUGCUCCCCCACCCCUUCCUCCCCGCCCCUCAUCCCCAGCUAGGGCCUGUGGCACCAGCCUGGGGCCCAGAGUAAAGACGACAUGAGACAGAGCCAC
RNAcentral lists this long non-coding RNA (1256 nucleotides) under Equus caballus (horse). RNAcentral's name for it is "lncRNA (ENSECAG00000048213.1)". The record is from RNAcentral. Lineage: Eukaryota; Metazoa; Chordata; Mammalia; Perissodactyla; Equidae.